This 469-nucleotide long non-coding RNA is filed under the name Felis catus (domestic cat). RNAcentral describes it as "lncRNA (ENSFCAG00000052620.1)". The record is from RNAcentral. Lineage: Eukaryota; Metazoa; Chordata; Mammalia; Carnivora; Felidae.
CCCGUUGGGCUGCUCUUUAUCACCAUCCAUGGUCUUUGGGCCACCACCAACUUCUCCAACCUGGUGGCCUCUGGGACCUCACCCACCACCUCCACCAUCUGGAACGAUGAUUGAAACAGUAUGAGUUGACUUAUAAAACACGUUUUGUCUUUUUACUUGUUGAGUGUUUGGAGAAGAUGCAGUGAUGGCACCACAGGGCUUUCAGUCUAUGCAAGUCAGAAUCAACUUCCAUCCCCCUCCAUCUUUUAUGAGACCUAGGACAUGGUGCAACUCCCAUGGGGAAUAUCAGUUGUGUCUCUAUCAUGGAUGCAGAGAAAGACAAGGUAGACACACAAAUGCACCCUGACAAAUAUGUGCUCAUCCAAGGCCACAGAUGUAUUGAAGAAGAAAACACGCAUAUAGAAGAACAGAAGUUCCCUUUGCAAUAACUCAAUCACUUUGACAUAGAGGACCUCCCUUUUACAAUGGG